AGCGAACGCUGGCGGCAGGCCUAACACAUGCAAGUCGAACGAACUCUUCGGAGUUAGUGGCGGACGUGUGAGUAACACGUGGGAACGUGCCUUUAGGUUCGGAAUAACUCAGGGAAACUUGUGCUAAUACCGAAUGUGCCCUUCGGGGGAAAGAUUUAUCGCCUGUAGGGCGGCCCGCGUCUGAUUAGCUAGUUGGUGAGGUAAAGGCUCACCAAGGCGACGAUCAGUAGCUGGUCGGAGAGGAUGAUCAGCCACAUUGGGACUGAGACACGGCCCAAACUCCUACGGGAGGCAGCAGUGGGGAAUCUUGCGCAAUGGGCGAAAGCCUGACGCAGCCAUGCCGCGUGAAUGAUGAAGGUCUUAGGAUUGUAAAAUUCUUUCACCGGGGACGAUAAUGACGGAACCCGGAGAAGAAGCCCCGGCUAACUUCGU
This 432-nucleotide ribosomal RNA is filed under the name uncultured bacterium. RNAcentral describes it as "partial 16S ribosomal RNA". It matches the Rfam family "Bacterial small subunit ribosomal RNA", at positions 29 to 506 of the family's 1533-position model. The record is from RNAcentral.